This 73-nucleotide transfer RNA is filed under the name Pleurocapsa minor GSE-CHR-MK 17-07R. Its description in RNAcentral is "Pleurocapsa minor GSE-CHR-MK-17-07R (algae metagenome) tRNA-Phe". It matches the Rfam family "tRNA". Rfam says of the family: Transfer RNA (tRNA) molecules are approximately 80 nucleotides in length. Their secondary structure includes four short double-helical elements and three loops (D, anti-codon, and T loops). The record is from RNAcentral. RNAcentral also lists the same sequence under 1 other name. Lineage: Bacteria; Bacillati; Cyanobacteriota; Cyanophyceae; Pleurocapsales; Pleurocapsaceae.
GCCACUGUAGCUCAGUUGGUAGAGCAACGCACUGAAAAUGCGUGGGUCGCCGGUUCAAGUCCGGCUGGUGGCA